RNAcentral lists this ribosomal RNA (465 nucleotides) under uncultured Weissella sp. RNAcentral's name for it is "bacterial SSU rRNA". It matches the Rfam family "Bacterial small subunit ribosomal RNA", at positions 338 to 795 of the family's 1533-position model. The record is from RNAcentral. Lineage: Bacteria; Bacillati; Bacillota; Bacilli; Lactobacillales; Lactobacillaceae.
CCUACGGGAGGCAGCAGUAGGGAAUCUUCCACAAUGGACGAAAGUCUGAUGGAGCAACGCCGCGUGUGUGAUGAAGGGUUUCGGCUCGUAAAACACUGUUGUAAUAGAAGAAUGACAUUGAGAGUAACUGUUCAGUGUGUGACGGUAUCUUACCAGAAAGGAACGGCUAAAUACGUGCCAGCAGCCGCGGUAAUACGUAUGUUACAAGCGUUAUCCGGAAUUAUUGGGCGUAAAGCGAGCGCAGACGGUUGUUUAAGUCCGAGGUGAAGGCCCACAACUUAACUGUGGAAGUGCUGUGGUACCUGGAUAACUUAGGUGAAGUAGAGGAGGAUGGAACUCAAUGUGUAGCGGUGAAAUGCGUAGAUAUAUGAAAGAAACCCAGUGUCGAAGGCGGCUCUCUGGACUGUAACUGACGUUGAGGCUCGAAAGUGUGGGUAGCAAACAGGAUUAGAUACCCUAGUAGUC